RNAcentral lists this ribosomal RNA (252 nucleotides) under Barnesiella intestinihominis YIT 11860. Its description in RNAcentral is "partial 16S ribosomal RNA". It matches the Rfam family "Bacterial small subunit ribosomal RNA", at positions 524 to 776 of the family's 1533-position model. Lineage: Bacteria; Pseudomonadati; Bacteroidota; Bacteroidia; Bacteroidales; Barnesiellaceae. The record is from RNAcentral.
UACGGAGGAUGCGAGCGUUAUCCGGAUUUAUUGGGUUUAAAGGGUGCGCAGGCGGCGCGAAAAGUCAGCGGUCAAAGUUCCGGGCUCAACCCGGUGACGCCGUUGAAACUUUCGUGCUGGAGUUCGUGCGAGGGAGGCGGAAUGCGUUGUGUAGCGGUGAAAUGCAUAGAUAUGACGCAGAACCCCGAUUGCGAAGGCAGCUUUCCAGCACGCGACUGACGCUGAGGCACGAAAGCGUGGGGAGCGAACAGG